RNAcentral lists this ribosomal RNA (203 nucleotides) under Sarcocystis bovifelis. RNAcentral's name for it is "partial small subunit ribosomal RNA". It matches the Rfam family "Eukaryotic small subunit ribosomal RNA", at positions 182 to 365 of the family's 1831-position model. Lineage: Eukaryota; Apicomplexa; Conoidasida; Eucoccidiorida; Sarcocystidae. The record is from RNAcentral.
CUAUACCUUAAGGGUAUAGUAGUGUUUAUUAGAUACAGAACCAUCACGCUCCAUUCUUGGGGUGUAAAGGGAGGUGAUUCAUAGUAGCCGAACGGAUCGCAUAAUGAUCAUAUUAUUAUGGUUGGCGAUAGAUCAUUCAAGUUUCUGACCUAUCAGCUUUCGACGGUAGUGUAUUGGACUACCGUGGCAGUGACGGGUAACGA